Molecule: signal recognition particle RNA, 96 nt
Filed under: Caedibacter sp. 38-128
Lineage: Bacteria; Pseudomonadati; Pseudomonadota; Gammaproteobacteria; Thiotrichales; Fastidiosibacteraceae
Also listed under: 1 other name
Description: signal recognition particle sRNA small type
Rfam family: Bacterial small signal recognition particle RNA
About the family: The signal recognition particle (SRP) is a universally conserved ribonucleoprotein involved in the co-translational targeting of proteins to membranes. Archaeal SRP consists of a 7S RNA and homologues of the eukaryotic SRP19 and SRP54 proteins.
Source: RNAcentral
AAGAUCGACCCUAGACACUAGGUUUGCAAACCCGGUCAGGUCUGGAAAGAAGCAGCCGUAGCAUUAUUCCUCGUGGGUUAGGUCGUCGGUCUUCCA